UACGUAGGGGGCAAGCGUUGUCCGGAGUUAUUGGGCGUAAAGAGCUCGUAGGCGGCUUGUCGCGUCGGCUGUGAAAACCUGGGGCUCAACCCCGGGCUUGCAGCCGAUACGGGCAAGCUAGAAUUCGGUAGGGGAGACUGGAAUUCCUGGUGUAGCGGUGAAAUGCGCAGAUAUCAGGAGGAACACCGGUGGCGAAGGCGGGUCUCUGGGCCGAUAUUGACGCUGAGGAGCGAAAGCGUGGGGAGCGAACAGG
Molecule: ribosomal RNA, 253 nt
Filed under: uncultured bacterium
Lineage: Bacteria
Description: partial 16S ribosomal RNA
Rfam family: Bacterial small subunit ribosomal RNA
Source: RNAcentral